AUUGAACGCUGGCGGCAGGCCUAACACAUUCAAGUCGAACGAGUGGCGGACGGGUGAGUAAUUUCUGGGAAACUGCCCGAUGUCUGGGGAUCACUACUGGAAACGGUAGCUAAUCCCGCAUACCAUCGGAUGUGCCCAGAUGGGAUUAGCUAGUCGGUGGGGUAACGGCUCACCUAGGCGACGAUCCCUAGCUGGUCUGAGAGGAUGACCAGCCACACUGGAACUGAGACACGGUCCAGACUCCUACGGGAGGCAGCAGUGGGGAAUAUUGCACAAUGGGCGCAAGCCUGAUGCAGCCAUGCCGCGUGUAUGAAGAAGGCCUUCGGGUUGUAAAGGACUUUCAGCGAGGAGGCGUUACUCGCAGAAGAAGCACCGGCUAACUCCGUGCCAGCAGCCGCGGUAAUAC
RNAcentral lists this ribosomal RNA (406 nucleotides) under uncultured bacterium. RNAcentral's name for it is "partial 16S ribosomal RNA". It matches the Rfam family "Bacterial small subunit ribosomal RNA", at positions 30 to 526 of the family's 1533-position model. The record is from RNAcentral.